UUUUUUUUUUUUUUUUUUUUUUUUAAAGAAAUUUACGUAUCGGAUGUUUAUUAGUCUUCAUGCCUAUCUGAUUAAAAAAAACUUCUUCAAAUCAGGACAAUAAAAGAAUUUGAGUAGGCAGCUUUUUUCUGGGUAGGUAGGGUUUGGGCAAACAAACCUAUUCUUUUUUAUGGCCUUAUCCUACUGUACAUGUACAAGUCUAAGAUAAAACAGACAAAAUGUGUUGUGAAAAUACUCAAAAUAAGCAUGAUAAGUGUGAUCACUUAAAUGGACAGAGCAAGCAUUUGCUAUGAAUGCUAUUCAUUUCACACAUUAUUUCCACACCAAGCCUUAAUAAUGAUUGUGUCAAUGCCAAUAACAUAACAAUGACAUAUGUUGAUAUGUUUGAUUCAUGACAGAGUCACUAACAC
RNAcentral lists this long non-coding RNA (410 nucleotides) under Mytilus galloprovincialis (Mediterranean mussel). Lineage: Eukaryota; Metazoa; Mollusca; Bivalvia; Mytilida; Mytilidae. The record is from RNAcentral.